This 253-nucleotide ribosomal RNA is filed under the name uncultured bacterium. RNAcentral describes it as "partial 16S ribosomal RNA". It matches the Rfam family "Bacterial small subunit ribosomal RNA", at positions 524 to 776 of the family's 1533-position model. The record is from RNAcentral.
UACGUAGGGUGCAAGCGUUGUCCGGAAUUAUUGGGCGUAAAGAGCUCGUAGGCGGUUUGUCGCGUCUGCUGUGAAAUCCCGAGGCUCAACCUCGGGCUUGCAGUGGGUACGGGCAGACUAGAGUGCGGUAGGGGAGAUUGGAAUUCCUGGUGUAGCGGUGGAAUGCGCAGAUAUCAGGAGGAACACCGAUGGCGAAGGCAGAUCUCUGGGCCGUAACUGACGCUGAGGCGCAAAAGCGUGGGGAGCGAACAGG